Molecule: long non-coding RNA, 5584 nt
Filed under: Marmota monax (woodchuck)
Lineage: Eukaryota; Metazoa; Chordata; Mammalia; Rodentia; Sciuridae
Source: RNAcentral
AGAAGAUAUUUUGCUCAAUAUCAAUUAUUCUUCCCACAGAUUUUUAUUGAGCCAACCAUAUGUAAAUUAACAGCUAAGUGUGAGAUGAGUUUCCUGGAAAAACAGUGGGCUGUGUCUGAGUAAUGUUCCAGCACAGACACAUGAUUGUCAAGGAAACCAUAGAGAGGAUUCCUGCCCAGGCAGGAAAAUGGACAGGAUGGUUUUUAAAGACUGUUACACCUCUUAAGAGUCUGGGGUCACUGAACCAUGAAGAAUUUCAAGGACAAUGCAGAGGGGCAGAAGUGAGUGUCCCUUAAAUACAUUAAACACAUUGUUUCCAUUUCAAAGAGAGGCAAAGGGGCAGGGUCACUCCUACCCCUUCACUGCCACAAUUUAUUUUUAUUUUUUUCCCAGUUUUUGGGAGUAGUCACGUUUUUAAAAUUAUAAUUAUUGGCAAAAUAUUGUACAAAUUGAAGGAUUCACUGCAAUAUUUCCAUGCCUAUAUACAUGGUGCAUUAUUUAUGUCCAGCCGCCCUUCUUCCAUUCAAGCCCCCCUCCCUUACCCCUUCCUUUUAGCACCCUUCCCAGUACCUAAAAGUCCCUCUUAAUUCCUCAGUGUUCCCACUCCCUGUUGUCCUUCCCCAUCUCUAGUGACCACUAUUCUGUUCUGUACUUCUACAAGUCUGAAUUUUUGGUCUCCUUAAAUGAAUGAGAACAUGUGGUAUUUAUCUUUUCAGUGUCUGGGUUAUUUCACUCCAAAAUAAUGUUAUCUAGAUGCAUCCAUUUUACUACAAAUAACAGGAUUUUCAUUUUGUGUGUGUGUGUGUGUGUGUGUGUGUCUGACUAGUAAUCCAAUAUGUAAAUAUACCAUAUUUUCUUUAUCCAUUCAUCUGCUAAGGGCAUCUGGGUUGAUCCCAUAUUUUGGCUAUUGUGAAUGGUGCUGCAACAAACAUGGGGGUGAAAGUAUCUUUGGUACCAAGAUUUCAACUCCUCUGGGUAUAUACCCAGUCGUGGCAUUGCUGGGUCCUAUGGUAAUUUUAUUUUUAGUUUUUUGAAGCAUCUCUUAUUGUGUUCCACAAUGACUGUAUUAAUUUACAUUCCCACAAGCACACUGCCACAUUUUUUUGUCCCAAGGAAUAAAGAUUAAGCCACUAACAAUGGCUAUGGAAAUACUGGAAUCAUAAAUCAUAACAGGUAAAUCUCAGAAGACAUUUUCUUUGAGGACAUUGAAAUACUCUACACACAGAUAAUACAUAUGUAGAAGAUGCUGUGCAAUGAUGCUGGUACCAUUGUUUGUGGGGCAGUCUUGCCCUACAGACUCCCAAAUCCUUGAAAACAAGGAUUCUGUUUUCUUUAUCUUUAAUUCUGCAUGCUUAACAUAGUUGCUGGCCCACAGUUUAUGCUCUGAACAUUUUUGAUGAAUUAUCUAAACGAUUUCAGAUUUCUAUUCUUCCAGAAAAUUGGUACCAAGAAUUUUCAAUGGACAAGCCACUGACCGCGCUUGUUCUUAUAAGGAAUUAAAGUAAAUAAAAACAAGCUCAUCAAGAGGCACACAUGGAGAUGAGAUUAAAAAAAUAUAUACAUCUAAGAUAAUUAAGUAGUAACAUUAAAGCUAUUGAUCAGGUGACAAAAUGAGAAAAAGAAAUACUGUUGAAUUCCAGAAGAAAGAGAGUGGUGUGGAGAGGUAGGGAAAUUCUGAUCUACUUAUAAGAAAAUAACAAUUUUUUUUGAUUCAUUUUUUAGAUUCAUUUCUCAAAGGAAUAUUCGCUCCAAGCCGGGUGCUAUGGCGCAAGCCUAUAAUCCCAGUGGUUUGGGAGGCAGGAGGACCAUGAGUUCAAAGCUAGCCUCAGCAAUUUAGUGAGGCCCUAAGCAACUCAGUGAGACCCUAUCUCUAAAUAAAUACAAUAGGGGCUGGGGAUGUGGCUCAGUGGUUAGGUGCCCCUGGGUUCAAUCCCUGGUUCCAAAAAAAAGAACAUUUGUUAACUCUAGCUCUGAACUAAGUAAGUUUGUUUUCUUCAAUCCUUCAUGCAACAAGAUACAAAUAUAGACAUAUUUUAAUUCUUUUUCUUCAUCAUUUGCCAUAUAUUUUGAGGAUUAAAAAAUGGCAUUUUCAAAGCUUUGAGUAGGGAGCAAGUGUUAUUUUUGGAAGUCAGAUUGAAUACAUAAAGAAAGGCACAAAAUAGUCUGUGAUAACUACAGAAUCAUGAAAGGGAGGGAAAUAAUGGAAUAAGUCAUAAAAGUAUGUGUCAGGAAGGGGCAAAAUUGUGAUGUAUGCAGACAAGGGGAGAAAUAAAAAAUGUCCAUGCAUUUCUGCCCCUUUCAAUACUUUAUUCACACAAAUUACUCAAUACAGUUUCACUCUAUAGGUUCUUUUUUUUUUUUUUUUUAAGAGAGAGAGAAAGAGAAUUUUUUAAUAUUUAUUUUUUAGUUUUCGGCAGACAUAACAUCUUUGUUUUUUGUAUGUGGUGCUGAGGAUCGAACCCCGGGCCGCACGCAUGCCAGACGAGCGCGUUACCACUUGAGCCACAUCCCCAGCCCACUCUAUAGGUUCUUAAUCAAGAAAACGACAAUCCUUAAUGCUAGGCUCUGCAAUAGACAUAAUCAAUUCACAGCAAAGGAUUCUAGAUUGAUUGAUUCACAGCACACAAUUCUAGAUUAAUUCUAAGCACCACAAAACACACUUAAUCAUGAUAGGCUAAUGACAGACAUUCCCUCUGCAUGCUAAGUUCAAAAGUCUUAAGCCUUAGGCUUUAUGUCCAGCAGAUGCACACUCACUCAGACCGCAGUGACCAGGUCCGGAACCCAGGAAGGUUUUUCCUGGUGUGGAGUGGACGACUAGUUGAGGACUGGGGAGAAGGGAGAAGUUGCAGCUCUCACCAAGGUCCAGACGAGGUGGUAGAGUUUGAGAGCAGUGAGGAUAACACAGAGGAUCAGGAAACAAUGACGAGUGAUGGGAUGUCCAGUCCUCAUCAGGCUCUCCAGCUCGAGUGCAUCCUUGUUUCGGCUGGCUGAAUCCCUGUUCAUUUGCUCUAUCAUUUAUACUAAAUUUUGGGGCUCUUGAUCCCCCUUUCAAUCCUUAUCAGCUACCACCGGAUUUCUCAGUGACAUAAUUUACCCUGGGGUCAGAAAUAUCUGGUCUGGUGGUCUCCACCCUGAUCUUCUCACCUUUCCCUUUUAUCAGGCGAGGACAGCCUGCCAGGGGCUUCACUCUGUUUAUCAGGGUGAGGGGAAGGAACUUGUUUGUGACCAUAAUGGAGGGCUCUGUGGGUGUGCCUAGUGAGACUGCAGGUUUCAAACUGGAGUUUUUAAAAUGGAGUUGCUUAAGCUUAGGACUAAGGCCAUCCUAACAGUGUGUGUGUGUGUGUGUGUGUGUGUGUGAGAGAGAGAGAGAAUCUGACAGUGUUUUUAUAGAAUUAGAAUUUUAGGAGGUCAUCUGGUUCAUCUGGUCAUCUUGUUUUAUAGACAAGGAAAGUGAAAAUCUGGAGAAGACAUAGGGCUCAUUCAGAAUCAUGGCAGCAUCAAGGCUAGACUCCAAGUCCCCACGUUGUCUUCAGGGAUUUCUUCUCUUUAUGUUCAGAGCUGCCACAGCUGGACAGAGAAAAGAGCUUCAGUUGUUUGGAAAGAUGAACAUUUACUUCCACAGUCUCCAUUCCCCUGGGAAGUAGAUGAAGGGAAGACUGAUGAAGAGCCUUAGAAUCAAAAAGUGUUGUAUUCGUUUUUCUCCAGUGUUGGGACUUUACGAAUCCUAUGUCCAGUUGAAGGUGAAAAUUGACCUGUUCAGUCUCCCAAAUUAUCCCCAAGAUCAUACUUGCUCUCUGUCUUCUCCAUCACUGCUUUGGCUGAGGCCCUCAUCAUUUCUCACCUAUGCACCCCAAAUGGCUAACAGCUCCUCGGAAUCAUGCUCCGUGCUAUUGCCAGAGAGAUGUUUCCAAAACACGAAUCUGAUCUUGUCAGCUCAGAUUUAGCACAAUCACAUAGCCCUCAAGAUUUUAACUUGGACUAUAUGAUGCGUAUGACACUAUAUGACAAUCUAACCCUCCUUUCUGACCCUCUGCCAGUGAUAUCUGAUUCCUGUGAUUGCAGUUUCUAGAAAAUCCACAUUUUAUUCUCUGUGCAGUCUCAUCCAUCUUACCUUGGCUCUGUGCCCAUCCUGCUCAUCCUUCAAGAACAGGCUGCUUUUCUCAGGUGUGAGGGUUAACACAACUCUCCCAGUAGGGUCAGCCAGAAUCUCAAAGUGUGCUCCAUGCUCUCUUUAGAUAUGUCUGUUAGUGUGUGGAUCACAUGCUCUGUAAUGGUCUGCUUCCAUGGUCUCCUCUCCUGGAGAGCAAAUUCUCCUUUAGAGCACAGACUGUAUCUGGUGGAAUUGACUCAACAAACGUUUGCAGAAAGAGAGGAAGGAAGGAAGGAAGGAAGGGAAGGAAGAAGUCAAACUGCAUCAGUAGAGAAGAGACUAACACUUUUUUGUUUACUUUUCAAAGAUUUUUUUUCAUGUGUGUGUGUGUGUGUGAAAAUAAAUGUUCCCCUAGCCAGGUAUGGUGACACCAGCCUGUAGUUCCAGCUACUUGGGAGACUGAAGUGGGAGGACCACUUGGGCCUAGAAGUUCAAGGCCAGCCUGGGCAACUUGACAAGAUCCUAUAUCUUAAAAAAACAAAACAACUUGAUGAUCUUACCUUCCCCAGUCCUACUCCUCAGAAGUAAUUUUUUUUAUAGUUCCUUUCUUCCAAAUCCUUCAUUACACCUGUAUAAAAAAGUAUGCAAACAUCUUUUAAAAAAUAAAUAUAGAAUCAUAUUAUAUGCGUUCUUUUACUGGUUUUGCUCAAUAUGUUACGAGCAUACAUAAAGAUCAACCACUUUUUUUUGAGAUCCAAUCAUAGCCAUUUAAUUUUUUUUCAGGUUUCUUUUAUUUUUUAAAAUUCUCAAUCCUAGGUAUAUAUAGAUAUAAAAGGCAAGAUAUGAAUUCAGAAUUUCUAUAGUAAUAUUCACCCCUAUUCCUUAGGGGUGAUUCCUUUCCCUGACAUUGAGUAGCUAUUGAUUACUAACUGGUUAUAGAUUAAAUAAACAAUAUCAAAUAAACUUAUCAUAUUCCUUGAGUCUUACUUUUCCUUAAGCCUAUGCCAUAUCAUUUUGAUUAAUGUUUACUUUAAGAUAGCUAUAAAGUGAUUCUUCUAUUUUUAUUUUUAAAAAGUCUUUUGUAUUUGUUUUUUAAUUUUAAUGACAGUAGGAUUUUUUUCGACAUAUCAUACGUACAUGGAGUGUAACUUCCCAUUCUUGUGGUUGAACAUGAUGUGGAGUUUCACUGGUCAUGUGUUCAUAUAUGAACAGAGGAAAGUUAAAUCUGAUUCAUUCUACUGUCUUUCCUAUUCCCAUCCACUGCCCUUCCAUUCAUUUCCCUUUGUCUAUUCUUCCCUUCCCUUCCUCCUUAUUGUGUGUUAGCAUCACUUAUCAGUGAGAACAUUCUGCUUUGGUUUUUGGGGGCUGGCUUAUUUGAUCUACCUCAUUUUAAAAAAAUGAUUGCAUCACAUCCCAUAAAAUAUAUGUGUGCCAUAUUUUAAAUUUCCCAUCAUUUAGAGAUAAGUAAGUUCUAAUUUUUAAAUAUUUAUGCUG